This 240-nucleotide ribosomal RNA is filed under the name Balsamia platyspora. RNAcentral describes it as "partial large subunit ribosomal RNA". It matches the Rfam family "Eukaryotic large subunit ribosomal RNA", at positions 104 to 339 of the family's 3401-position model. Lineage: Eukaryota; Fungi; Ascomycota; Pezizomycetes; Pezizales; Helvellaceae. The record is from RNAcentral.
AGAGCUCAAAUUUUAAAUCUGGCGUUUGUAACGUCCCGAGUUGUAAUUUGGAGAGGCAUCUUCGGGGACAGCACCAGACCAAGUUCCUUGGAACAGGACGUCACAGAGGGUGAGAAUCCCGUGCCUGCCUGGCUGUCUGAUCCCUUGUGAAGUGCCUUCUACGAGUCGAGUUGUUUGGGAAUGCAGCUCCAAGUGGGUGGUAAAUUUCAUCUAAAGCUAAAUAUGGGCGAGAGACCGAUA